AGCGAACGCUGGCGGCAGGCCUAACGCAUGCAAGUCGAACGAACUCUUCGGAGUUAGUGGCGGACGGGUGAGUAACACGUGGGAACGUGCCUUUAGGUUCGGAAUAACUCAGGGAAACUUGUGCUAAUACCGAAUGUGCCCUUCGGGGGAAAGAUUUAUCGCCUUUAGAGCGGCCCGCGUCUGAUUAGCUAGUUGGUGAGGUAAAGGCCCACCAAGGCGACGAUCAGUAGCUGGUCUGAGAGGAUGAUCAGCCACAUUGGGACUGAGACACGGCCCAAACUCCUACGGGAGGCAGCAGUGGGGAAUCUUGCGCAAUGGGCGAAAGCCUGACGCAGCCAUGCCGCGUGAAUGAUGAAGGUCUUAGGAUUGUAAAAUUCUUUCACCGGGGACGAUAAUGACGGUACCCGGAGAAGAAGCCCCGGCUAACUUCGUG
Molecule: ribosomal RNA, 433 nt
Filed under: uncultured bacterium
Lineage: Bacteria
Description: partial 16S ribosomal RNA
Rfam family: Bacterial small subunit ribosomal RNA
Source: RNAcentral